Molecule: small nucleolar RNA, 121 nt
Organism: Microtus ochrogaster (prairie vole)
Lineage: Eukaryota; Metazoa; Chordata; Mammalia; Rodentia; Cricetidae
Gene: Snora20
Product: small nucleolar RNA, H/ACA box 20
Source: Ensembl
UUUUCCAUUUACUUGCUGCUCUGGUCUCAGUGAUAGAAGCAGUUUAGGCAUGGGAUAAAAUUAUAUUGGACCAUUGUGAAUUGAGAUAGUAUUUUGUCUCUUGUACGUGAACUAAACAUUG